This 21-nucleotide non-coding RNA is filed under the name Rattus norvegicus (Norway rat). Lineage: Eukaryota; Metazoa; Chordata; Mammalia; Rodentia; Muridae. The record is from RNAcentral.
AGUAUAAAGAAAAUGAACGGC